AUCGUAACAAUGGUUCCGUAGGUGAACCUGCGGAAGGAUCAUUG
This 44-nucleotide ribosomal RNA is filed under the name Koenigia nummulariifolia. Its description in RNAcentral is "partial 18S ribosomal RNA". Lineage: Eukaryota; Viridiplantae; Streptophyta; Magnoliopsida; Caryophyllales; Polygonaceae. The record is from RNAcentral.